GAGUUUGAUCAUGGCUCAGAUUGAACGCUGGCGGCAUGCUUUACACAUGCAAGUCGAACGGUAACAGGGAGCUUGCUCCGCUGACGAGUGGCGAACGGGUGAGUAAUGCGUCGGAACGUGCCGAGUAGUGGGGGAUAACGCAUCGAAAGGUGUGCUAAUACCGCAUACGAACUGAGGUUGAAAGUGGGGGACCUUCGGGCCUCGCGCUAUUCGAGCGGCCGACGUCUGAUUAGCUAGUAGGUGAGGUAAAGGCUCACCUAGGCGACGAUCAGUAGCGGGUCUGAGAGGAUGAUCCGCCACACUGGGACUGAGACACGGCCCAGACUCCUACGGGAGGCAGCAGUGGGGAAUUUUGGACAAUGGGCGCAAGCCUGAUCCAGCCAUGCCGCGUGUCUGAAGAAGGCCUUCGGGUUGUAAAGGACUUUUGUCUGGGAGCAAAUACCCGGUGUUAAUAGCGCCGGGGGCUGAGAGUACCAGAAGAAUAAGCACCGGCUAACUACGUGCCAGCAGCCGCGGUAAUA
RNAcentral lists this ribosomal RNA (521 nucleotides) under uncultured bacterium. Its description in RNAcentral is "bacterial SSU rRNA". It matches the Rfam family "Bacterial small subunit ribosomal RNA", at positions 9 to 525 of the family's 1533-position model. The record is from RNAcentral.